RNAcentral lists this ribosomal RNA (468 nucleotides) under uncultured bacterium. RNAcentral's name for it is "partial 16S ribosomal RNA". It matches the Rfam family "Bacterial small subunit ribosomal RNA", at positions 28 to 507 of the family's 1533-position model. The record is from RNAcentral.
GACGAACGCUGGCGGCGUGCUUAACACAUGCAAGUCGAACGGAAAGGCCCUGCUUUUGUGGGGUGCUCGAGUGGCGAACGGGUGAGUAACACGUGAGUAACCUGCCCUUGACUUUGGGAUAACUUCAGGAAACUGGGGCUAAUACCGGAUAGGAGCUCCUGCUGCAUGGUGGGGGUUGGAAAGUUUCGGCGGUUGGGGAUGGACUCGCGGCUUAUCAGCUUGUUGGUGGGGUAGUGGCUUACCAAGGCUUUGACGGGUAGCCGGCCUGAGAGGGUGACCGGGCACAAUGGGACUGAGAUACGGCGCAGACGCGUACGGGAGGCAACGGUGGAGAGUAUUACAGAGUGAGCGGGAGCCUGAUGCGACAACGCCGCGUGCGGGAUGACGGCCUUCGGGUUGUGAACCGCUGUCGCCUGUGACGAGGCGUGAGUGACGGUAAUGGAUAAAGAAGCACCGGCUAACUACGUG